GAGAAGAGACCAGAAGAAUAAGAAGGAGAAGGAGAAGGAGAAGAACAGACAUAAUAAAAAGGAGCAGGUGAAAAAGAAGAACGAGAAGAAGACCAGAAGGAGAAGGAGAGGUGAAAAAAAAGGAGAUAAAGAACAAGAAGAAGAUCAGAAGAAGAAGAACAACAACAACAAGAAGAAAAAGAAAAAAAAGAAGGAUAACAAGAAGACUACCAGAAGAAGGAGGAGACCAAGAAGA
This 235-nucleotide long non-coding RNA is filed under the name Capsicum annuum. Its description in RNAcentral is "long non-coding RNA (CANN_LNC000075)". The record is from RNAcentral. Lineage: Eukaryota; Viridiplantae; Streptophyta; Magnoliopsida; Solanales; Solanaceae.